AUACGGAGGGUGCAAGCGUUAUCCGGAAUCAUUGGGUUUAAAGGGUCCGCAGGCGGAUUAAUAAGUCAGUGGUGAAAUCCUCUCGCUCAACGAGAGAACUGCCAUUGAAACUGUUAGUCUUGAAUUCGGUCGAAGUAGGCGGAAUGUGUCAUGUAGCGGUGAAAUGCAUAGAUAUGCCACAGAACACCGAUAGCGAAGGCAGCUUACUAGACCUGGAUUGACGCUCAUGGACGAAAGCGUGGGGAGCGAACAGGAUUAGAAACCCCAGUAGUCC
Molecule: ribosomal RNA, 274 nt
Filed under: uncultured bacterium
Lineage: Bacteria
Description: partial 16S ribosomal RNA
Rfam family: Bacterial small subunit ribosomal RNA
Source: RNAcentral